GUCUCUAUGGCUCAGUCGGUAGAGCGUUGGUCUCAUAUUCUGUCAUCAAUAUGACUUUGUCUUAAGACAAAGACAUCCAAAGGUCGCAAGUUCGAGCCUUGCUAGGGACA
RNAcentral lists this transfer RNA (110 nucleotides) under Colletotrichum chlorophyti. It matches the Rfam family "tRNA". Rfam says of the family: Transfer RNA (tRNA) molecules are approximately 80 nucleotides in length. Their secondary structure includes four short double-helical elements and three loops (D, anti-codon, and T loops). Lineage: Eukaryota; Fungi; Ascomycota; Sordariomycetes; Glomerellales; Glomerellaceae. The record is from Rfam by way of RNAcentral.